GUUUGAUUUUUUUUAGGUUUUUUUUUUUUUAAAGAUUUUUGUUUGUUUGUUUUUAGAGAGAAAGAGAGAAAAUCCUCAAGCAGAGUCCCUGCUGAGCAUGGAGCCCAUUGUGGGGGUUCAAUCCCAGGGCCCUGAGAUUAUGACCUGAGCCAAAAUCAAAAGUUGAAUGCUUAACCGACGAAGCCACCUGUAUGUCUCUCUCUCUCUCUCUUUUUUUUUUUUUUCAGGUUUAAAUGAACUCCAAACACUAUCAGCUUCUGCCUUUCUCCUAACCUCAAAAAAAGGGUCGGCCAGUGGAGAAUUCCCAUGGAGCGCCCAAUCUCUCCUGCCCCGGACUUUUCUCGCCCCUGUGUGCCUUUCUCCUCCUGCUCUCCUGUCUCUUCUCCCCAUCUCCUCCUGGACCCCCAGCACAGUGACUGCCAAGAAUGCAAGUAAGUUCAGUUAUUUACUUUUUUAA
RNAcentral lists this long non-coding RNA (457 nucleotides) under Mustela putorius furo (domestic ferret). RNAcentral describes it as "lncRNA (ENSMPUG00000029502.1)". Lineage: Eukaryota; Metazoa; Chordata; Mammalia; Carnivora; Mustelidae. The record is from RNAcentral.